GUUGGUGGAGAUCCAGU
Molecule: microRNA, 17 nt
Filed under: Chiloscyllium plagiosum (whitespotted bambooshark)
Lineage: Eukaryota; Metazoa; Chordata; Chondrichthyes; Orectolobiformes; Hemiscylliidae
Description: microRNA cpl-mir-4683-p3
Source: RNAcentral